This 6456-nucleotide long non-coding RNA is filed under the name Homo sapiens (human). RNAcentral's name for it is "HSALNT0405315". The stretch from base 5016 to 5164 matches the Rfam family "Myocardial infarction associated transcript exon 5 conserved region 1". The record is from RNAcentral. Lineage: Eukaryota; Metazoa; Chordata; Mammalia; Primates; Hominidae.
GGAGGCUGAGCGCACCGGCCAGCUAGCCCCUUUGUGCGGCGGGGGCUGCGGAGUGCUCCCUCCAAGACCGGUUGCACCCCGCUUUCCUGGCCAGGACUCUGGGCGCGGCAGCUACAAAGACGACGCCGGCUGCGCUCGCGGGACCAGAGGGAGGGAGGCUGCGGACGAGUGCGGGGAGGAGUUUGAGAUGGGAGGCGCUUGCAGGGGCUCCCCCAGUUCUGCGCUGUGAGCCGGGGCACAAAGAGCCCUCUGCACUAGCGCCGCAGGACCGCGGACCCGAGUUGGAGGCAUCUGUCCACCCAUGUGGUUCCAGACACGUUCAUGUGGCCACCAUGACCCCGUCGGCAUCACAGGGGUAACCAAGAGAGCAGCAAGUUCCUGGGACAGAGGAGACAGAAGGGAAUUUCCAGGUUCUUCAGGACGUUCACAACCACACUGAGAAGCAUCUUUGCAGAUAAGUAUUUAAACUUACCAGCCCAUAGCCUACCAGCCUGCCCUCUUCUGGUCUGUGCAGGAAAGUGUAGUAUCCUAGAAUGCCAAAGUGGGAGGGGAAAUGGGUGAUGUAGCUCAUUCUCUUUUCUACCUCUAUGGAAGAAAGAAAGAGCCUGUCCCCAUUUUGUGGGGUCCCAGAAAGGGUGAUUUUCACACUUCACAUUUGGCGUUAGGGCUAGUAUUUCACAAACAUUACCGUCUGGAACUUUUGAAGGCUGAGUUAAAUGACUUCAUCUUGUGUACUUGUAGAACUGCUAUUAGAAGGAGGCUGGGGACUCCCUGAUGAUGUGAACCAGCCCUUCUCUUCUCAGUUUCAGCACUUUGUGAUCAUAUUUAUAAACCUUGGACAGGGCUCCUUGGCCUUAGAGUUAAGUGAAGAGUUAACACUGUGACUUUAGAUGCAUUUUUCUCAGUGUAAGUGUCUGAGCUCAUCUCCAGUUCUGGACUCGUGCCCCCACUCCCGGGUGCUGACAGCAAGCUCUGAAGAUAUGCUGAGAGAGCUCCCUGACUCUCCUGACUCAGGUCUGCCAGUUGAUGAAGACAGCACAGUUGUUACCAAAAACAAAACCUGGCAGAUGGUCCUAGGUCAGGAUUAGUGGUCAUUCUCUGGUCUUCUCCAGACUGGUGACACAGGGUGGUCUUAAAAGAGUCCUAGUCCAGCCUCUGGCUCCCCGAAUUUCCUCUGGUGCAUGGGGCAUCAGGAAAGGGCAGGGGAGAAGGAGGGGGAGCAGAAAAAUAACUGAGGCUGGGCAGAAGGGUCCCUUCCAUUUCCCAUCCAUUGCUUCAAACAAUGGGUGAUUACCGUGCACCUUGAGUGAAUGUCAAGGCAGGAAGGGUUCCAGGGCCACCCAGUGUGGCAGGAGCAGAGCUGGGAUCAGAAUUCUGGAUUCCUGACUCUCCGUUCAGCUGCUAUUCAGCUAUCACCAAGCUGCUGAGUUUGUCCUACUUUCUCCUGGGUCACAUUCUGCUGUUGUUGGGAAACAGGGAGUGAGUGAAGGGAACCUGGGAACCCUUCUCCCCUCACCUUUUAAGGAUGUUCUGGGGUGGAAUAAAGAGAGGUGGAGGGUGGGGUGCCUGGGCCCAGCCUCCCUGGCUCCUGGUCCUUCUUUCUUCAGCAGGGAGUUCUGGCAAGGCCUGGGCCUGGGGAGGGGGCCUGGGUGCAGUUUUCUCCUGCGGUGUGGUUGGCUCUUUUGUCUUCCAGGAUGGGCCUGUGGGGUCUGUGUGGGGAAGGAAGGAGCUGGGAGCCUGGGCUGCCUGUGUGUCGGCUGGAUGCUGCCAGGUGGCUCCAUCUGGGCCGCAUCUCCAGGACUCCUGGCCUGGACUUCUCUUUGGACCUCGGGUGACCUUGGAUUCUGGCCACAGUGACUUAGCGGUCAGACUCCGGUGGUUUUCUAGCCCGCUGGGUGACUCCCUGAAGAUCUCAUCCUCUUCACACCUGUUGGGAUGGAGCCUCCCAUGGAUAGGAACUCUUCCUGGUUGAUGCUCAGCAGAUGACUGAUCUGGCUCUGGAGGACAGCUCCAGGGGUAUGAGGGAGGCCUGGCAGCCCACUACUCCCUCCUCACCUGCUCGGGCCCUGCCUGCUGGGCCCUAUUGUCUGGGUCUGGGGGCCCUUUCCUGCCCCAUGUGAACUUGAUUCCUCCUCGCGUUUCUGCCGGUGACCAGACAGAGCCUGGCCUGGGCCAAGUCCCCACUGACCACACUUUCCCCAAGGCUGGGUCUCAAAGGACCCUACAGGAUGGGGACAGGAACAAGGAUGGGAGUCGGGGAGGGGCUGUCAGGCAGAGGGCAGAUGCAGCUCCUCGGGUGCCGCUGGCUGGAGUCCUUUGUCUCCAUUUGCUCAGUGCGUAAUUGUCAUUUUGUGGGGGACUUCCUUGGUGGGGCUUUUCCAUGCUUUUCCUCUCCCUGAUGGUUACAAAGAGGAGACAGUCAGGAUCUGGGAGGAGCUGGAGCCUUCCCCCUGUGCUGUUGAACUCUGGGAGGGGCAGCCAGAGGGGCUGAGAGUGCACCAUCCUGAAAAGAGAGGGUCUUUAAGAGAUAAGAUUUAGGCUAGGGAAAUUCACUAGAAAGAGACAGGUGGCCCUGGGUUUUUUUUCCUGCCAUCCAAAGGGAACCAGUCUUACCCAAAGGCUUAAGGGGUCACCUUAGCCCAGUCUCAGGACACUCUUCUCCAAUCAGAUCGCUGCUUCUAGUUGCACUGCUCCUGGAUUCUGUUCUUGGGGAACAGAAGGUGGCAGGACAGGCCCCACAAUCUGCAAUUCCAGCUCCCUCCAGAGGAGACAGUCCCAGCGUUUGCAAGAGAGCAGCUUGUGGCCUCCCUUAGGCAAGUUUAAAAGCCAGAUGUCCUUUUUCCCAGAAUGCGGAGUGGUGUGUACUAUUCAUCAGCUUGGGCUGCCACAGCACCAUGCCAGACUGGAUGGCUUAAACAUCAGGAAUUUAUUUUCUGCCAGUUCUGGAGGCUGGAAAGUCCAGAUCAAGGUGUUAAGACUUGGUUUCUGGUGAGGCCUCUCUCCUUGGCUUGCAGGUGGCACCUUCUCACUAUGUCCUCACAUGGCCUUUUCUCUGUGGAGAGGGACAGAGAGCAUGAGCAGGCUCUGGUGUCUCCUCCUCUUCUUAUAAAGACACUAAUAUCACCAUAUUAGGGCUUAAACCUAUGACCUCAUUUAACCUUAACCCCUUAAAGGUCCCAUCUCCAAAAACAGUCACAUAGCAGGCUACUGCUUCAACAUAUGCAUUUGGGGGAGGGGACACCAUUCAGUUCUUAACAGGGUGGUCACCGCAAACAUGGAAAGUCAGAGCCUUCUCCCCUUCAGAAUUCCCGCCCCCACCCAGGGAUGGGGAGGAGGAGCAGAGAGGUAUGGGAAGCAGACACGGAGAGUGGCAGGUACCAUGCUGGGGUGGCUCAGGAGUGCUUCGGAGGACAUAUGGAACUGGCAGGGCUCAGUGCAGGGAGGCGGAGGCCCUGGGAGAGCCGUGUCCUGAGAAGGGCCUGGGCUACAACCCUGGGCAAGUUACUUCACCUCUGAGCCUCCGAUGCUCUGUGAAAUGGAAGGAAUGUGCUUGCCUGUCAGGUGCAGGGAGAAUUCAGUGAGAUUGUGUGCCUAGCACAGUGCCUGACUCCCAGUAGGUGCUCAGCAAAUGCUCCCAUCCAUCUGGGAGUAUAGACUUAGGGUUUAUCUAUUUUUUUUUUUUUUUGGCUCUCUGGACUUUAAAACUCAGCAUCUUCUGAACCAGAGGCAUUUCUGAUUAGCCCUUCCCUACCUAUUUUCCUAGUAUCACUCUUUAAUCAGCUUGGGGAGGUGGCAGCAUUUCAUGGCCUCCGUAGUAACUCACAAUGCUUCCUGGGGUAUUUAAAUUCUACUCUCUCAUCAGCACUGAGCACCUACUUUGGGCCCUUUCCCGUGCUAGCCAUUUGGGGGAAAUAUAGGUGAAGAGUGGCUGGGGUUUGAACCUUUAGGAUUUCACAGCCAUGCUGGAUGGGAUAAAACCAGCUCACAUGGAGAAUCAGAGAAUGGGACAGUGCCACAAAACAGUCUACUGAGGCACAAGUUCUGAGUGCCUGGGAAGUGGUAGAGAGACCCCAGAGAGGGCUGCUGCAGUCUGGAACAGCUUCCUAGCAAGCUGUACCAAACAGGGCCUUGAAGGAUGAGAAAGAUCUGGCUGAGAUGAUACCCGACCCUCUAGGGAAAUUCUUAAAGUAACUUCUAGGAAAUGUCAUUGCUCCUUAAAAAAAAAAAAAAAAAAAAAAAAGCAGGUUCUAAUUCAAAUUCCGCUGCACUACUGAAGUAGUGCAGGACUUAUCAGAACCUUUAAAAUGCUAAUGGCAAUUUCAAAUACUCAGGGACAGGGCAUAGGAUGAAGUGUUCCUUGACUUUUAUGGCCGUAGAAUCUUUUUCUCAUGGAACAUCGUUUAGAACUGUGGGAGAUGCUAGGCUGGGGUUUCUAUGGGAAAAGUACAGCAGUGAUAGAAGAUGGCAUAAUUAGGGUACACUUAGGUGCUUUGUAGCAUUGGCUGAAAAGGAAGCAGACCGGGUGGGCGUGGGGGAGUCUCAACUUGGUUCCAGGAGCCAGGCCAGCUUGAUGCGUUUUUUUUUUUUCUAAUGGUGGGAGGGCAGGCCAAUAGUUGGAGAAACUAGAGGCCUGACAGUCGGUGAUGGAAGAGAUGUCUACUAAGCACGGUUGUCAGAUCUUUUGCGGAGAGAUGCGGGUGUGCGUGUGUCUGUCAGAGUGUAACAGGAUCCAGCCCUCUGGGAAGGGGCUGACCAGAACCAGGCAGGGGGUUUCUGUCUAGGACAAGUAGGGUCCAUUUUCAGGGGAGCUGAAAUAUUUGCAGGGGGUGCUCUGAGACCCACAGCCAAUAAAUAGGGAAGCAACAUGCUUUUGGGCAGGGUCCAUGUGGUUAGGGUUGAUUUUGAUGGGGCUGGGGGGCUUAGAGUUAGACCCCCUGCCCUGGUCAGGCCCCACUCCCUGGCUGGUGGGGGCGGGAGGCCUCUGAAGCUGCAGCUGGAGGGGCCGGGGCAGUGUUGCAUGGUGUGAUUAACCUACUAACCCAGGGCUCAGCCGGGACGCUGUGGCGUGUGACGAGGUGCCUGGCCUUCUGCCAACCAACUAACCCACUAACCAGGCCCGAGCAUGCCCUACUAACCACCCCCCCGCAGCCAGAUCCUACUAACUGUGCAGCUCAUGGGCCUUUCAAGGGGCUGGGAUAUGGGGGCAGCCAAGGCUCCAGAAGGCUCUGCCUAUGGGCUGGGAUCUUUGUGCAGACCCACGUUCCAGGACAGAGAAUGCAAAUAAGACUCACCAACUCUGCCACUUCCUGUUGAGUGAGUUUGAGUAAGUCACCUCACUUCUCUCAACCUCAGUUUCCUCAGUGGUAGAAUGCGAGUUCUGAUACCUUACAGGUUGCAGUGAGGAUUCCCGUCAAUAUAAGGGUCUCAGCACAUGGCAGACACCUAAAAAAAAAAAAAGUAUGAGGAUGGAGGAAGGCCCCUCAAACCUGGUUGAACACGUCUGCUGCCUAGGCCCUGGCCUCUCUGGGUGUUCUGCACACAGAUCCUUCUGCCUGGGGCAAGACACUUGGCUUUGAAUCCAUGUCACUUCCCCACAUUCUUCCUCCGUCUCAGCUUUCUUUUCUGUAGGCAGCUCUUUUGUUCGAUUACUAACCCGUCUAACCCCUGGGGUGCCUCAACUGCACCCCGAUCAUCCCUUAACAAACUAACGGACCUGCGUGCGUUCUUCCUUUUCUCUUAGCGACUCCUGUGUGUGUCUGCUGAGGUGCCCUGUCCGCUGGUGCUGUGCUCUGACUUACUAACCCAGCCCCUACUAACCCUGUUUUCUCUUCUUACUAACCCCAGCCCUGCCGAGCUCUGGGCUCCCCCCGGGGGCUGGUCCCCCUCCUUUUGGCAAGCAGAUGACCUGGGGCUACUGGCCCUGUAGACAGAUGUCCCACUUUGCUGCCCCAUAUUGGCUGUAAGAUCAGAGUCCACUGGGCCAGGUCUAAGGCAGGGGAUGGCCCUAUUAACAAGACUCAGAGGAGGAAGAGGUGGUCCUGUGGAUGUGGGAGGCUGGACUCUGAGUAUGACAUCUCUCCUAUGUGCAGAAGUCUGGUUGCCACUGGGAGUAGGUGGGACCAGGGAAAUCUCUGGGACGUGAGUGUGGAGGCCUGUUGGUCUAGACUCUAGACUGUGGAGCUCUGAGCUUUUGUGUCCUCUGGAAGGAAGCUGGGGAAGAAUCCUCUCCAUUGUUAAGUGACGGGGAUAGAAGCUGUCCUGCACAGGAAGUCACGAGGGGGGCGUAUCCCACGAGGAAGGCAGGAGGGGGCGUGCCCCUCACCGGAAAUUAGCAGAGGGGCGUGUCCCACACCGGAAGUCAGAAAGCGGAGCCUUUCUUACACCGGAAGUCAAUGAAGCGGGUCUUUCCUACGCUAAAAACCACUGAGUGGAGUAUUUAGUACACAGGAAGUCGGC